This 253-nucleotide ribosomal RNA is filed under the name uncultured bacterium. RNAcentral describes it as "partial 16S ribosomal RNA". It matches the Rfam family "Bacterial small subunit ribosomal RNA", at positions 524 to 776 of the family's 1533-position model. The record is from RNAcentral.
UACAGAGGUCCCAAGCGUUGUUCGGAUUCAUUGGGCGUAAAGCGCGUGUAGGCGGUCCGGUAAGUCCGCUGUGAAAGUCGAGGGCUCAACCCUCGAAUGCCGGUGGAUACUGUCGGGCUAGAGUGCGGAAGAGGCGAGUGGAAUUCCUGGUGUAGCGGUGAAAUGCGCAGAUAUCAGGAGGAACACCUAUUGCGAAGGCAGCUCGCUGGGACGUUACUGACGCUGAGACGCGAAAGCGUGGGGAGCAAACAGG